UCACCGUUUGCACGGGCAGUUUCUCUAGAGUCCCCGACAUUACUCGCUGGCAACUAAAGAUAGGGGUUGCGCUCGUUAUGGGACUUAACCCGACACCUCACAGCACGAGCUGACGACAACCAUGCAGCACCUUGAGAACCGUCCGAAGAAAGGUCUGUUUCCAGACCGGUCGUUUCCCAUUUAAGCCCAGGUAAGGUUCCUCGCGUAUCAUCGAAUUAAACCACAUGCUCCACCGCUUGUGCGGGCCCCCGUCAAUUCCUUUGAGUUUCAAUCUUGCGACCGUAUUCCCCAGGUGGAUUACUUAUCACUUUCGCUUAGGCACUAACCGUAUAUCGCUAGCACCGAGUAAUCAUCGUUUACGGCGUGGACUAC
RNAcentral lists this unclassified non-coding RNA (372 nucleotides) under uncultured Cryomorphaceae bacterium. RNAcentral's name for it is "contains 16S-23S intergenic spacer region". Lineage: Bacteria; Pseudomonadati; Bacteroidota; Flavobacteriia; Flavobacteriales; Cryomorphaceae. The record is from RNAcentral.